GUAGGGAAGUAGGAGCAGGGAAGAUUGGGGAGCAGGGGCUAAAGGAGGAAAAAAGUCCCUCAGACUAAGGAGGAAUACUGGGUAGGGGGGAAAGCAUCAGAGCAGGGCCCAUAGAGGGGUGGGGCAGGGGGAGAAAGGGUUGAGAGGUUUUGUUAAGGGUGGAGGAGUGGGAGGAGAGAUUGGUAGUGAGAGACGUGCUUAAGGGACUGCUCAGUUUGAAGUAGAUUGGAGACAUUUUCUCAUGUUUCAGCCUCCUUGGACCAAGCAAAAUAAGCUGACCUUUGAAGAGAACAGAUCUUGAGGGGGAUCUGUAGAUGGACACAGGGAGAUUCCAGGUGCCUCAGAGGGAUCAACUUGCAGUUCCAAGUUGUCCUCAGGGAAAUCUUGCCAUUUUUUGGGAUAAUGAACUGAAUUCUCAUCACAGUGGAAUACGUAUCAUCGGAAGGGAUUUUUAAAGGGCAGGGUGAGAAGUGGAUUGAGAAUUUCGCAUAGCACCAAGGUUAAACAGAAGCCAACUACGAAACAAAGCCAGAAGGGCACUCAAGCAAAUAAUCAAAAUCAAAUCCUUACCACGCUGCCAGGGACCGAUAUAUCCAGAGCAUGGGACCAGGAGCUGGACUCACGGUGGGAUCUCUGAUCAGUCACAGAAGGAGCUUGACGAGCUCAUGGGGUCUCUCUCCCUAGGUGGAGAAGACAGGGCUCCAAAUGGACUUCCAGUCCCAUCCACGUCACAGAGGCAAAUUGUCAGAGACAAAGACCUAAGCCGGUCCUUUUCCAGGAGUAAAUGACCAUCGUGCGCCCAUGGGAAGAGUGCUGCAUCCACGGAGGACAUGGGCCAACAGUGCUCUCAAAUGGGUUUCAUGAAAGCAUCUGUGACUCAUCCCUGUUCAAGAAUGUUUUCAUUACGAUUCAGCAGAAGCGAUGUGCCAGCUUUUGAUAAUGUGGCUACUUAAAACAACUGAAAUAACACAUGUGGUCCCAUUGUGGCCACAUUAGAUUUCUACUGGCCAGCGUGGGACUAGACUCAGGCUAAGGUCCUCCCAACUCAGCUCCAGGUUUAUGAGCCGUAACUCAGCAGAAGCCUAGCAUGAGAACAACUCAUCUGAAGCUCCAACAUUUGGGGAAUGCAACCUUUCGACAGACAUUUGCUGAAUGGAUAGGAGACUCCUGAAAGCAGAAUUCUGCACAUUCUGUGGACCAGCCCUGACUACGGAGAGCAGGUGUUAGCCAGUAUCCAUGCGCAGUGCCUCUUAGUCUUACCUGUCUGCUGCCUUACGCAAGCAUGGAGCUUAAUAUGCUAGCUGUGUUCUCCUAACCUCAGAUAUCUGUAAAACCAGCCACAGUAAGAUAACAUGGUAGAGCACAAAAUGCUUAGAAGAGAUUUAUUUGAAGCAAUGCUUCCCAGAAGUUUUUCAAUGCAGCUUAUGGCGAGAAACACAUUUUACAUCUCUACUCAGUACGCAGCCACUCAUACUCAACUGAAACAUCUUCUGAAACAAUAUUUCACUUCACUCUCUGCAAUACAGAAAAUACCAGAUCGUAUUGUAUGUUAUUUCAUUGUUUUAAAAUCCUGAGCCUAGCUUGCUAAUAGAUUACAACUCAGUUUGAAAAGCACAGGCUAAGGGGCUUCAAAUAGGGGUGACACAUUGAACACACACAUUUAUCACCUCUCCCUUCACAGAUCUCAUUAAAAUGAUAAUAAAGGAACAAAAUGGCAGAAAUCCACAAGGACAAACAGCAAACAAGAGGGACAUCAGCAGAUAGGCAACCUCAACAAGUAUAUCACAAUGAGUGACACACCCCCUAUAACAGCCAAUUUUGAUGGUCCUCCCAUAGCUCUUGCCUUAUUCUUUGUAAUAGGAUUCAGAUUGUUUAAAAUCCCCAUAUUCUACCGCAAAGUCAUGUUAUCAGGAAAGACCAACCCUAACCCCAGUUCCAUGGAGUAAAGAUUAAUUAAUCUAAACUCUAUUAAUUGUAUUCCCUUUAUCUGGUGAUAAGUUUAAGAGCUGAUCCCUUAAUUUUGGACAUGGGAGCACAAGAGAAACUCACUCAAGACUGGGAUUAAUUGUAGGAAAUAUUUCACAGUUUCCACAAGUCAGAAGAGCUAAUCCCAACCCUCUGUAUCUGGAACAUACACUGCUGCCAUUUUCUGCCCAUGAAGGGAAAUACCCAAGGUACUCUGGCAGAACAGAUUUUUGAAAACUUGAGUCCCUGAUGAUGUAAGUCAGCCACAAUGUUAAUCAACCCCAGAGCCACCUUAUUUCUAGACUUAUUAUGCAAGAUAAAAAAAAUCAACUUGCAGUAUGAACCACUUUUAGUUGGGUUUUAUUUCGGCAAACAUAUGCCAAGGCACAGCAUAAAAUUCCACAAGGGACAAAUCAAUGAGCCCAGAACUUCCAAUGAGGGGGACAACUAAGUCAUAUACACAAUAACUAGAAUGUAAAUGGUAUUGAACUUCAAGCACAACAUUGGAUGCUAGAAAAAAAGAAUGCCUUCAAAGUUUUAAAAGAAAACACUUUUCUACCUUGAAUUCUGCAAUCAACCAUACCAUUGAUCAAGAACAAAAGUAGAUAGAAUUAUCCUUAGACAUGCAAGGACGAAAAUUUACCUUCCAUAUGCCUUCUAGGAGCUAAUAGUUGAUGGGUUUCAGGAAAAGAAAGGAAUAUAAAUGAAAAUAAGGGAAGAGAAGGGACCUAGGAACCAGUGAGUCCAGUCAGCAGGGUGGAAGAGCUGACAGCUACACUGUGCAGUCCACACAAGAGUAGAAGGGGAAGACAUCCAGGGAAAAAUUACAUAGACUUAACAGAGUAGAAAUAUGGCAGAUCUAGUGGCAAAGUGAUCAUCAGAAAGAAAUCAAAUAUGCUGUACUGUAUAACGAAUUACCCUGAGACUUUCAGACUUAAAAUAAGCAUUUAUUAUCUUCUAUUUUCUGAGCAUGAGGCAUCUGGGAGCAGCUUAGCUGGGUAGUUUCAGCUCAGGAUCUCUUCUGAGGUUGUCAAGAUGUCAGCUGGGGCUCCAGUCAGCUGAGAGCAUGACCAGAACCGUAGAAUCAGCCUCCACCAUGGCUGACUCAUGUUGCAGUUGGCAGAAGGCCUCAGUUCCUUGCUGGCUGUGGGCAACAGGCCUCAGCUGCCUGCCACAUGGACCUGUUCAGAGGGCUGCUCAAGUGGCCUAACAUGGCAGCUGGUUUUCCCCAAAGCAAUCCAUGAGAAAGUUCGUGGGGGGGGGCUGUAAUGCCUUUUAUGACCUAGUCUCAGAAGUCACAUGUCAUUAUUUCUGCCAUGUUCUAUUUGUUAGAAGCAAUUCACUAAGUACAGCCCACUUAUAAGGCAAGGGAAAUAGGGCUCUGCAUUUUAUAAGAAUAUUGAAUUUUUGACAUGUUUUUAAACUAUUACACAUAUGCAUAUAAAAGUAGCAUGUAAGUUAAUAAGUGUGGCAAAGAGAUAACUUCAAGGGAAACAAAAUCUAAAGAAAAAAUGUAAUCCUAAUGCACCACGCAGAUUUGCUAUUAACAAUAUCGACAUAGUUUUGGUGUUAUAAAGUGAUUAUUGAUGUAAUUAAAAGCAACUAUAGGCCAAGCCCAGUGGCUCAUGCCUGGAAUCCCAGCACUUUGGGAGGUGGGCGGAUCACCUGAGGUCAGGAGUUUGAGACUAGCCAAGAUGGUGAAACCCUGUCUCUACUAAAAAUACAAAAAUUAGCUGGGCAUGGUGGUGGGUGCCUGUAAUCUCAGCCACUUGGGAGGCUGAGGCAGGAGAAUUGCUUGAUCCCGGAAGGAGGCAGCUGCAGUGAGCUGAGAUCAUGCCACUGUACUCCAGCCUGAAUGACAGACUUAAACAAAAAACUAUGCAGCUAUAUAAAGAGGGAUGAGGAAAGAUAAGAGCAUAAGGGAGCCAACUUUUCAUUAACUCUGAGGAAGCCAAUUGAUAUUACCUGUAAUUGAUAAAUCAAAAAACUAUGAUCAAGACAGUCUUGCACUGGCAAAAUAGGUCAAUGACCAUAUUUGUUCAUUGAAAAAAUAGAAAACCCAGACAGACCUCACCCAAAUAUAAUCAACUGAUCUUUGACAAAGGGGAAAGGAUAGUCUUUUCAGUAAAUGGUGCUGAAACAACUGGACAUCCACAUGCAAAAGAAUCUAGUCACAGACUAUAUCCUUCACAAAAAUUAAUUUAAAAUGGAUCAUAGAUGCAAAUGUUAAACCUAAAACUAAGACUCCUAGCAGGUCACAUAGGAAAGCAUCUAGAUGACCCCUGGGUUUGGGAAUGACUUUUUAGACAACACCAAAGAAAUGAUUAAAGAAUUGAUAAAUUGGACUUUAUUAAAAUUAAAAACUUCUGCUCUGUGAAAGGCACUGUCAUGAAAAUAAGAAAAGCCACAGAUUGGAGAAAAUAUUUGCAAGAGAUAAAUCUGAUAAAGGACUGUUAUUCAAAAUAUAUAAAAAGUCUUAAAACUCAAUAAGGAAACAACUUAAUUAAAAAUGGGCAAAAGAUCUGAACAGAUACCUCACAAAAGACAUACAGCUGGCAAAUAAGCAUAUGAAAAGAUGCUCCACAUCAUAUAUCAUUAGAGAAUUGCGAAUUAAAACGAGAUACUGCUACACACUUAUUAGAAUGGCCAAAUCUAGAAUACCGUCAACACCAAAUGUUGGCAAGGAUGUGGAGCAUCAGGAACUCCCAUUCAUUGCUGUGUGAAUGCCAAAUAGUAGUUUGGAAGACAGUUUGGCAGUUUCUUACAAAGCAACUACUUUUGCAAUAUACUCCAGAAUUUGUACUCCUUGGUAUUUACUCAAAUGAGUUAAAAACAUGUCCACACAAAACCCUGCACAUACCCUUCACUGCUUCCAUGUUGUAGCAACCAAUGAAUAAAAUUGCUAGAAACAAUGUCCUUCAAUAGGUGAAUGGAUAAACCAUCGUGCAUCAAGACAGUGGAAUAUUAUCCAGUACUAAAAAACGCAAUAUGGAAGCCAUGAAGACAUGGAAGAAACUUAAAUGCAUAUUGCUAAGUAAACAAAGCCAAUCUGAAAAGGCUACACAUGCUGUAUGAGUCCAACUAUGUGACAUGCUGGAAAAGACAACUAUGGAGACAGGAAGAUGAUCAGUGGUUGCCAGGAGUUAGAGGGGAGGGAAGGAUGACUAGGUGGAGAACAGAGGAUUUUUAGGGCAAUGAAACUGUAUAUUACAGUGAUGGAUUCAUGGCAUAAUACAUUUGUCUAAACCCAUAGAAUGUACAACACCAAGAGUAAACGCUAAUACAAACUGUGAACUUUGGGUGAAAAUGAUGUGUUAAUGUCAGUUCAUCAGCUGUUACAAAUGGACCACGCCGGUACAGGAUGUUGAUGGAAGCAACCGUUUAGGGGUGGGGGCAGGCAUAUGGGAACUCUGUACUUUCUGUUCAGUUAUGCUGUGAGCCUAAAACUGCUCUAAAAACAAAGCCUAAUAAGAAA
Molecule: long non-coding RNA, 5440 nt
Filed under: Homo sapiens (human)
Lineage: Eukaryota; Metazoa; Chordata; Mammalia; Primates; Hominidae
Description: HSALNT0100712
Source: RNAcentral